Pimephales promelas (fathead minnow) is the source of this 203-nucleotide non-coding RNA. Lineage: Eukaryota; Metazoa; Chordata; Actinopteri; Cypriniformes; Leuciscidae. The record is from RefSeq and is a predicted model, not a curated record.
UAAAAAGUUUGUCUAAAGGCACCAUUGUCAUUCUUCUCCGUACUGCGUGUAACAAAAGUCUAAAUGGUGAUAUUUCCUGUAGCUAUUCCCUGGGAUGUGCGUGCAGUGGCGAGCGCAGGUUGCAUAAAGCUUACUGUAGCCUAAUUGAUCUUUCACUUUGAGGUGUGGUCCAGAGCGCUAGCUGCUGUUUUCUUAGGGGUUCU